UUACUUCUACUUCUCUGGAAUGACUCCUAUUUGUUUUUUGUUUGAGUCGGAGCACUUUUGUCUGCAUCUGGUGACAUUGCAGAAACAAGUGAGGACUUGAGGUUCAGCUUUUAGUUCUUUUUUCAUGAUUUGUAAAUAUAUUUCUGGGAGCUUGUAAUAUAUAUACACAGAGGAAACAGCAAAACUUGUUUUUGUUUUUCUUCAAGUGAGCAAAAACAACUUGAAAUGAAAACGGGAAACAGCAUUUCCUUUUUUUCUCAAGACAUACAUUCCAGAGCCCUUUCAAUAAAAUGUUUUACUUAAUUUCAAGAUCCAAGUUUUAGUUUCAGUUGGGAAUAAACUUCCUCUCAUUCCUUGUUAUUUCCACAACAGAUAACUUUCUAAAUCACAGACAUCAAUAAAUAGUACUUCUCACUUAUACUUUUACAGCUAUUGAAAGGAUUAAGUUUCUUUUUAACAUCAUAACAUAUACUUACAAGGUACCGUUGAUUCCCACGUUAGCAUAUGUAGGGUGAAAAAUUGUAGUGCGAGCAAAACUUGUACAUUUUGUUUCCCUUUAAACAAGCAAUGUAAGAUAGGUCAAACUAGUCAAAGUAGUUAUCAAAAAGUUAGCUAAUCUAUAUCAAAUUAAAGAGUAUCAUAAAUAUGGAUAACGUAAUGAGUCAGUCAUCAUAUUGUUGGUUAUACAAGUGAAAUGAUGAGUAUUCAAAAUACAGCCCCUCUGAAAGAAUUGGAACAGCAAGGUCAAUUUAUUUGUUUUUGUUCUAUGCUGAAGGCAUUUAGGUUUCAGAUUAGAAGAUUAAUGUGAGAAAAGUUCAGAUUUCCAUCUUUUAUUUCAUGGUACAUCUUACGGUAUUGGGCGAAGCAAGUACAAGAAUUUGGAAUGUCCUCAAAAAGAGAAACUACUGGGGUACUGAGUAAUAGACAUCAAUCAGGUUGGCCAAGGGUAUCAACAGCGGUUGAUGACAAACAUUGUGAGCACUGUGAAGAAAUGUACAAAGACAACAGUCAGUGAUAUCACUGCCAACCUCCACAGGGCAGGGGUGAAUAUCACAAUCCACUGUUCGAAGAAGAUUUAAAAAGAAAUAUACAGGCCAUACCACAAUGUGUCAACCACUCAUCAGCAAAAAGAAUUGAAAGCCCAGAUUAGAUUUUGCAAAGAUACAGAGAUGACCCACAAAUGUUUUGGAACAAAAUUUUAUGGAUUUGAAAGAACCAAGAUUAAUCUCGACCAAACUGAUGCAGAAGUCAAAGUAUGGGGAAAGAAAGGAUUUAAAACAGGUGCUCAUGAGGGCACCGGUGGAAAUUCAGAUGAGGGUUAAAGAUGACGGAGAGGUGCAAAGGAGGUUCUUAAGCAGAAAGACCGGAGGAAAGCACAGAGCAUGGAAAAAGUUGAUAUAGUUGUUAUAGGUAUAUCUGAUUAUAGGAUGAUGUCCAAGAGAGGAAGUGGAAAGGCAGUGAGGCGAGAAGCUCAGGUGCAGGGUUCAUGAAAUUUUAUGAUGGUGUAGAUAGGAAUAGAAAUGGAGUUGGGAAUGUUAGCUAGUUAGUAGUAAUAAUCUUCUUCUUUUCCUUUCGGAUUGUCUCGUUUGGAGUCGCCACAGAGUGUCAUCUUUUUCCAUCGUAAGCCUAUCUUCUGCAUCUUCCUCUCUAACCCCAACUGCCAUCAUGUCUUCCCUCACAACAUCCAUCAACCUUCUCUUUGAUCUUCCUCUUGCUCUUUUCCCUGGCAGCUCCAUCCUCAGCACCCUUCUACCAAUAUACUGACUCUCGCCUCUGAAGAUGUCCAAACCCUCAAAGUCUGCUCUCUCGAACCUUGUCUCCAAAACAUCCAACUUUGGCUGUCCCUCUAGUGAGCUCAUUUAUAAUCCUAUCCAACCUGUUCACUCCAAGCGAGAACCUCAGCAUCUUCAUUUCUGCUACCUCCAGUUCUGCUUCCCAUUUUUUUCUUCAGAGCCACCGUCUCUUAUCCGUACAUCAUGGCCGCCCUCACCACUGUUUUAUAAACUUUGCCCUUCAUCCUAGCAGAGACUCUUCUGUCACAUAACACACCAGACACCUUCCGCCAGCUGUUCCAAUCUGCUUGGACCUGUUUCUUCAAUUUAGUUAAUAGUAAGAAACAGCUAAAAAAUGUCUUAUAGGUGAAAAGAAGCUUGAAAAAUGAGAGUGUAAUCUAAAGCACAUUGAAUUACCUUGUGUAUGAAAUGCACUAUGCGACUACAUUUGCUUUUCUUUUUCACAGGGGUCAGAAAGGUUUUGAUUUUUUUGUGUCUUAAUAAAUUUAAUUGUAAUUUCAAUAAACCCGAAGCCGCAAGAACUCUAAAUUUUGGAAACUACUUAAUCUUUGAUACUAAUAAUACGAGCAUAAUGGGCAAAAAUGUUGAACAGGUUUCCUAAAUCCAAGCGGAUGGCUUUCAUGGAGGAUUUAGGAAAUCAAAGUACUGACACGACAGCUUGAAAUCAAGAGGUUUUGGGAUUUCUAAAACAAAAUUAAACACAAAAAAAACUUUUCCUUUCCAUUUUGUGUUUUGCUGGCAAGCAUGAUGUUUGACCAAAUUGUAUGUUUCAAUGAUGUAACUGGUCAUAUAAAUAUCUGGCUACUUAUGCUUAUAAAAUUAAUUACAAAACAACAAUUUGUCAUAUGCAAGGCUGCACCACGGCAAAGAUAGGCAUGGCCUGAGAACCUCCGGUUUCAUCUAUGACACCUGUCGCCGGUCACACCUGUUUCACAUGAGGCACUGUCAUUAGACCCUGUAUUUAAGUUGAGGUUUUGUCACUGGCAUUUGCCAGUUCGUUGAGUAUGCUUGACCGCAUCCAUGGUUACUCUGCCACGCUUUUAUUAUGCUUUUUAUAGUUAAUAGUUAUCGGACAUUGUUUCUUGUUUUUUGGAUCCUGCCUUCUUGGACUGUGUUGUCGUGCACAACGUUUGUUUAUAAUAGAAACCCACUGAACAUCAUGCCUUUGACUGGGAGUUCUGGAUUUGGAUCCGCCCCCGCACCGCUGGUUUAUGACAGAAUGAACUGGCCAGAACAGGACCCAGCAGGGAAGACGGUGCUGACUCCUCGGCCGCCACACGUUCCUGUCUUGAUGGCGACUGGUCCACAGUCAUCUCACAUCCCUGUUUCAGCGGCAACCCGUCCACAGCCGCCUCCAUUCCUGUCUCGGCAGUGACAGAGACCGAGCUGCCGCUGAUCCACGUCAACCCCUCGACGAUGCUCACAUUCUUGUCUAGGCGGCGACCCGUCCUCGGCCGCCUCAUGCUCCUGUCUCGAUGGUGACUGUUCCGUGCCCUCCUCAUGCCCCUGUCUCGACGGUGGCCACCUCCCUCUCUUGCUUUGAUGGCGACCAGUCAGUGGCCGCCUGAUGACCAUGCUUCAACGUCGACCGAUUCCCGGCUGUCUGACGGCCAUGCCUCGGCGCCGACUGAUCUUCGGCCGCCACACGACCAUGCCUUGGGGGUGGGGGGGGUUCUAUGAUGUGCAAGGCUGGACCACCGAUCUGAGAGGUUUCAUCUCUGACACUUGUCGCUGGUCACAGCUGCAGAGUUCGUAUGGGUCAGGGAAUUUCUGUAAUGCCAUGGGAACAAACAUUGCCUUUUCCAGGUCUUGGAAAGUCCAGGAAAUAAAAAAAAGUAUUUGGCUUGUGUCAGGGAAUGUCAUGGGAUUUUCAGUCACCGUGACUUGACGGGUGCGAUCGCACUUGCAAAUCUGCACAGUCGAGCACGAAAACUCACGCACGUAAAAUUUGUUACGAGUAGAAAUACAUAGACAUCCUCAGUGCACAUGAAAACCAAUCCAGCGCAGUGAACCACAGCCUGACUUUUUUUUCUCAACACUGAAGCACACCAUCUCCUGAUAGUUUACCUGACUCCGCCCCCUUUUGGCUCUUAAACGGGUGCACUCAUAAUUACAAACACCGUUAAACAUGCUGCUUGUUUACUCUCGAUUAAUGAUGGUAAAAGUAAAAAAAAAAAAAAAAAACAAGUGCUGUUGCUUUAAUGAAUUUCAGGGUAUGUGAAUAAUAGAAGAAAAAGUGGUGAAACUGGAUGAGAUUUUCUCUUUUUUUUUUUUUUUUUUUUUUUAGUAAAAAAGGUCUGGUCUGAAGCCAAAGUAGAGAAUACAGGAUGAGAUGGGGUGUAAGGUUAAAAUUCCACAGCCUGAUAGAGGAUUAAAGCAUAGACAAGUGCAUAAAAAGCUAAUUCUGUAUUUCAAAAUAUAGAAGACCUCAUAACAUUAACCUUCAAACUGGUUGGUAGCUUUCAGCUUUCAACAUGCAUUCCUAAAGAUGUUCUGCAAGCAAUAAUUCAAUCUUAAACCAAGAAAAACAGAAGGGGAUAUCAUUGUGGGUUAAAAAAAAAAUAAAACAAAGUUGGAUGUGAUAUUUCACAUUUUACAGUUCAGAGUUGGCUUGGUUUGGUUAUCAAUGUAUUUUUUUGUCUGUUGACAUUUUCAUUGUAAGUUUUCAAAAACAAAAUUGUUCUUAAAAAUGUUCUGAUGGGAAUGUAAAUGCUGUCAUCUGAAUCUUUGAAUGAGGUAUGUAACUUCAACGGAUGACACUGAUCUGACCACAGUGCAUAUGUCUGAUGUUGCUCACGGUGGUCAAAGGGGACUCUUACGGCCUUAGUGUGUUUGCUCAGACACGUAAAAAAUUAGAAGGAACGUUGGUUGUAGGCAAGUUUGAAGCCCAAGGCUUGCUUGCGUAAAGCCUUUGUAAAUGAAGAAUACUCUUACCUUAUAACACAGCAGAUAAGAACCCACUUACAAGCAUGCUUUACUGCAAUGUUGUAGUGAUAGGAUAAGCAAACUCAAAGGCGAAUGCCUUUGUAAUAGCAUGCCCAUGUCCCUGCUGAUUACGUGCAAAGCCAAUGAGCUUUUUAUCAACAAUACUUUUAUACACUUGUAAUUAUAGUUUGUAUUUUUAAUAAUCAUGAAGUUCACAGUCAUUAUGAUACACCUACUACAUUGUUAAGCUUUGGCAAUUAUUAUUUAAAUGCCAACACAUGGUCAUAUAGCUGAAAUAUUGCUGUAUGCCACAACCAGUCAAUCCAAUAUUAAUCAUGGAAUUUUGUAUUGAGUAACUGGAAAGUCAUGGAAAAUUAAUGGAAUUUUGAUUCUCUGGAAGUGUACGAACCCUGCAGCUGUUUCACAUGAGGCACUGUGAUUAGACCAUGUGUUUAAGUUGGAGUUUUGCCACUAGCAUUUGCCAGUUCAUUGAAUAUCCUUUACCGUAUCCAUGGUUACUUCACCGCUGCACCUUUACAGUCCUGACACGCUUGUAUCCUCUUUUGUUGUCUCAUAGUUAUUGGACAUUGUUUCUUGUUUUUUGGAUCCUGCCUUCUUGGACUGUGUUGUUGUGCACAACUUUAGUUUAUAAUAAAACUUACUGAAUAUCA
Molecule: long non-coding RNA, 5389 nt
Organism: Syngnathoides biaculeatus (alligator pipefish)
Lineage: Eukaryota; Metazoa; Chordata; Actinopteri; Syngnathiformes; Syngnathidae
Exons: 2
Source: RefSeq, a predicted model, not a curated record